GAUGAAGAACGUAGCGAAAUGCGAUAAGUAGUGUGAAUUGCAGAAUUCAGUGAAUCAUCGAAUCUUUGAACGCACAUUGCGCCCUUUGGUAUUCCUUAGGGCAUGCCUGUUCGAGCGUCAUUUAAACCUUCAAGCUCAGCUUGGUGUUGGGUGACUGUCCGCCGCCUCCGGGCGCGUGGACUCGCCUCAAAAUUAUUGGCGGCCGGUACAUUGGCUUCGAGCGCAGCAGAAACGCGAACUCGGGCCCGUCGUAUUGGCUCCCAGAAGCUAUCUUCACAAUUUUGACCUCGGAUCAGGUAGGGAUACCCACUGAACUUAAGCAUAUCAAUAAGCGGAGGA
RNAcentral lists this unclassified non-coding RNA (339 nucleotides) under soil metagenome. RNAcentral's name for it is "partial contains 5.8S ribosomal RNA, internal transcribed spacer 2, and large subunit ribosomal RNA". The stretch from base 1 to 120 matches the Rfam family "5.8S ribosomal RNA", at positions 35 to 154 of the family's 154-position model. The record is from RNAcentral.